This 864-nucleotide long non-coding RNA is filed under the name Canis lupus familiaris (dog). RNAcentral describes it as "lncRNA (ENSCAFG00845005272.1)". Lineage: Eukaryota; Metazoa; Chordata; Mammalia; Carnivora; Canidae. The record is from RNAcentral.
AUUUCAUUAUCUGCACCUCGGAAAAGAAAACCUAAUCUUCCACCACAGAAAUCAGAGGAGCCAGGAUCUGAGCUGGCAGGAACCGUCUUGCCUGAGCGAGAGAGGCAGCGAGAAAAAGUGAGCGAUGAAGAAAAUAAAACUUUCCUUCGGUCCUGCCGCAGAGCUGUCAGCACGGGAACGGCUAACACGGCCCUCGGCGCUUCCGGACUUGUUCCUCGCCGGGAGCACCCACAGCCGGAGCCCUCGGCAGCUUCCGGUCCGCGGGCGGUUGCUAGGCGACCUCGGGCCAGCAGCGGCCAAGCUGCCCACCCCCUCCCCGCCCCAGUCCCACCCGCAGACCCGCCGAGGCGCCAGGACGCAUGCGCACUUGUCACUGCGCUGUGCGAAGCGACGCGAGCUCCCGCCCUUCGCCGUGCUCUGUGCCCCGCCCCUUCUCGUGCUGUAGCCCCGAGCUCCGUUCCGUUUCAGACCUGGCCCUGCCCACGCCUCGUCUUCAGUCUUGGGAACAGUGCGGACCCACGUCCCGCGCUCUCGUGGUGGCGGUGGUGGUGGGUGGGAUGGAGAAGGGUACGGUGGCAGAAUGAGGCCAGAGCAGGGGAGGCGGCACUUGCGGACUCACUUCCGGACCACGGGCGGAAGCGGAUGCGGCGGAGGGUGGGAGGGGGGACCCGAGCGCGAGGGGAGGGUCCGGCCGCCGCGGGUCCAGGGGGUGGGGUCUGGGCCGCCUGUCCGGACCCAGCUUGGGGCCUGGACUCGGACCUGGGAGGGCCUCGGCUUCCGGCUGACACCCGGCCGGCGGGACCCAGGUUAACACUGAAAUCAGCCUCUGGCCAUGCCGGUUCAAUGGCUUGUUUCUUCUCAUGA